Molecule: ribosomal RNA, 1791 nt
Filed under: Triticum aestivum (bread wheat)
Lineage: Eukaryota; Viridiplantae; Streptophyta; Magnoliopsida; Poales; Poaceae
Description: partial small subunit ribosomal RNA
Source: RNAcentral
CCUACCUCAUGUACAUACAUUUUACAACUUAAAGAUGCGGAGGUUUCUCCUUUACGACAUAAACCCCCCACCAAAGUCAUCCUUGUUCAGUAAGCACAUCGCCAACCAAGCAACCGGCCAAUCGGUGUGCGACCAGCAAACCUCUGACUGCCUUUGGCAGAGUAGUGCCCGCAGAAACUGCGCGCGGCCGCUCUUACCGCGCCGUCCCGUCUGAGCAGGAGCAGCGGCGGCGCCGGCGGGACGAGGAGGACGACACGCCGCCCUGCCGCGACCCCCGCUUCGCCCGCCGCUAGGGCCUGCUGGAGGCGCUGCACCACCUGCUGCUCCUCCUGCUCCUCACCGCCGUGACCCCGCGGCCGAGGCCCCGCGCCCUGCAGGGGCUGGCCGGCGGCGGCCUGGACAGCGCCUACCUGGGGCGGCGCGAGGCCCGGCUCUAGGAGGCGCCGGUGCCGCCCGGCAGCGACCCGAAGCACUUCGAGGCCGGGCCGCAGGCCGCCUGGGCCCUCCUCCACCGCCCCUAGCGCUGCGCCACCUCGUUGCACGACGCCUGGCCCAGCCACCGCCGCUUUAAGCACCGGCACCUGAAGCCGUGCGAGUACAAGUGGUACCUCUCUCCCGCGCUGUACGCGCUCGACUUCCUCAAGUAAGACCCCGCUCAAGUUCCAGCCGCUGGUCAAAAAGGCCUCCGGGCCUCUGGGCGGGGACCUGGUUCAAUAGCUCUACGAUGCCUUUGUCUGGUUCUUACUUCUAAGAAUUGUGCGAACGUUACACACACAUACACAAGAACAUUCUUACUUCUAACUUAAAAAGAAAGAAAGAGGACGCAGCAGAAAACGUCAGAAUCUAAGUCACUCAUUCGAUCGAUCGCCAGUUAUUCAUUCAUUCGCGGCGGGCCACCCGGCCUUCGACGAUGUCCAGUUUGAGGAGAGGUUCUAACGUUCGCAAAGCUGGCGAGACACGAGACACCUUCCCGUGCUCACCAAGACGACACAGACAACCAAGUAGCCGGGGCAGCCGAAGCCGUCUGUGCCGUGCCGUUCUCGCAGCCCACGCGAACCAGGCGGCAAAGAGGUACCUACAUGCACGCACCGAGAAAAGCUUCGUAUCGACGAAACAAAGACGUGUGCGGUUUAGCUCUUAGUCAAGUAGUCAGGAACUUGGUUUGCUCCCUUGUUCCUACAAAGCACGACGAAUUUUUUUUUUGAGCUGGGUUCCCCUCUCUUUGGGGCUUCCGUAAAAAUAAAUAUAUAACAUUUCCAACUCUUUUCCGGGAUUUGCGUCCGGACGCGGCGCGUUCAUAUGCGCCGCUUGUGCGACCGAACGUGUUAUACCUACAAAGCACGACGACCUUACAACCAAGUUGAAUGUUCAUACCGAGAAACUAACUAGCGAGGUUUACUGUUCGUUCGCCACCGCAGUUCCACGUGUUACUCAUCAAAAAAGAGAGAGAAAGAAAAGUUCCGUGAGAACGAUUCGAAAUAAAUAUAGUGGUGUUACAAAUGUCCAUUCUUUCUUUAAAGAGCGUGACCAGAUUGGUUUGUACCACUGGUUUGGGUUCGCAAUUACGUACGAAAAAAAAUGUCCUUCUGUUUGAAAUAAUUAGUAUACUGGCAAUGUAGUAAGCGAUUAUCAAAUUGUUACUUGAGGCCGCCCCGUAGUUGGGUUUUUCUAUUUACCCGACCUAAACUUCUUUGGGAGGCCUUCUGUAUAAAACACAGGCCACAGUUGUUGACUCCAUCUUAUCCGGGUACGUGUUGCGGCCCACGAAUCGGUCUACGGCAUCUUUAUUUG